This 2918-nucleotide long non-coding RNA is filed under the name Gossypium barbadense (sea-island cotton). RNAcentral's name for it is "long non-coding RNA (GBAR_LNC012323)". Lineage: Eukaryota; Viridiplantae; Streptophyta; Magnoliopsida; Malvales; Malvaceae. The record is from RNAcentral.
CAUGCCCUCAUCAAACACACGGUCGUGUCUCGCACACGGCCACCCAAACAGGCGGCCACACUCCCGUGUGGCAUCGAAAGUAGACAUUUUUGGCUUUCGCUGAAACCUCAUUUUCCAUAAAUUGGGAACACACCUGUUUCAAUUUUGAUGCGAGCACACACCUGAGAUCACCAGAAUCUAAAACCGACAAACCAAACUCCAAAAUCAUUCAUAAUUCAUGAUUAAACCAAAACUACCAAAAUCAAAAAUAGUCCAAUUCAAACGUUCAUCACUUACCCCAACACUCCGAACGAUUUCAACUACGAUUUCGCAAGAGAAGAGCCCCAUUCUUGGCGAUUCGUUGCUGUCAAAACACGAGUUCAACAUCAACGAAAAGUUCAACACUCUAUAAACGAAUUAAAGAAAGACUCCCUACUCGAGCAAAACAUACUACCCUUACUUACCAAACGUAUAACCACAAUGAUACGAAACACCGCAAUAUUGAAGAACAAUUUUUAUUAAAACGAAAAAGAAAAAUGAGAAAACUUCUGUUGAAAAGAAAAGGGGAAAAAUAACAGAGGAGGAAAAAAAGGAAACGUCAGUUUUUUUCCAAGAAGGGAGAGAUUUUUGGGAAAACAAAAUUUACCCAAAUCUCACUACAUCCACAUCCAUAAUCACCCAAUAACUCAGAAUCCCACUACCACUGAACUUCUAACCACCACCGAAGCAAAAAAAAAUAUUAACGACAUUCACGCAAGGACUCAAACACAAAAUUUUCAACACACUAACUCCUUACCACUCGAAUCAAUAGGCUCAUUCUGAUAUAGACUAACAGACAAUUUAAUAUAAGCUCACUCAACAAGGGUAAGGCUUGAAUUAGAAAAAUAACAAAAUUUGACAAAUGUGAGGCUUGAACCCAAGACCUCACACACACUCCUAAAAUAUUUAAUCACUGAAAUAAAUACACAUUUGUGUUAAAUAUUUACAGAAUUAGAAAUAAAUUAUUCAAAGAGUUACAAAGGGUAUAAAGACCUCUAUAGUACUUUUACCUUUACUAACAACAUUAAAGUAAUUUUAAAUAGAGAUAAUAAUAAUAAUAAUAAUGUUUAAAUCUUGGAGUUCUAAACAAUUCCUAUCCUCUAUCUCUAACAAAAUAAUGAGCUUGAGUUUAGUUUUAAUUUCAUUUUAUAUAUUUAUCUAGAUUAAAAAAAGAUUACUUAAAUAAUCAACUUUUUAGUUGUUUUUUUUUUUACGAAGUCUGAAUAGUUGACAAUGAUUUACAUCGCUAUAUUAUUUUCGCUGUGAAUUAAGAUAUCAAAGAAUAAAAUGUUGAAUAUUUGGUAUCUUACCCUAUGUUAUACACCAGUUAAGGAGAUAAUUGAUUAUUCAAUUUAGGACAGUCCUCUCGAGCCUUUUGAUCUAUCGUUGUCAAUGUCAUUAAUGUUGGGAUGAAGUGUAAAAUUUAUACUGGACACAGAUAAAAGCAUUCAGGUUUUAAACAUGUUACAAGUGAUUUUGAGUUUAGGUAUUUGGAUCCAAUUAUUUUAAAUUUGAGUUCAAGUAAACUUAACUUCAUUAUAUUUUUUACUUCUGGCGGCUUUGAAAUUUAACUAAAUUCUAAUUUUUAGAUGUCAAAGUAGAUUUUUCUUUCUAUCAUUUUUGAAUUAAACAAUUAUUUUAAAGAAAACUUUGAAAUUAAAUAAAAAUAAAUAAACAACCGGGGCCAACCCUUCUACCUGUCCCUUGGUUACACGUCUCUAAGCUAGCUGUAUGCUCCCUUGGAAUCUAAAUUCUAUAAAUUGGUGAAUCAAUUUCCACCACUUAACAAUCACAGAUUCUUCUUCUAUAUUCCCUUUGGCAAAAUACAAAUAUUAAUAUUAGGAAUGGCUGAUUACCGGGAGAAGAUGGGGUUGAAGAAAGGGCCAUGGACUCCAGAUGAAGACCAGAAGCUCUUAGCUUAUUUUGAAGAACAUGGGCUGGGGAAUUGGCGUACCUUGCCUGAAAAAGCUGGUGACUAUCCAUCAUCUUUUUUUUCCAUUUUAGUAUUCUGCAAAUACGCAUUCUUUCUAUACGUUUUGCUGGUCUACUUUAUAACUGACCAAAAUGCUUCUUCUUUUUAUCUCAAAUAAUAAUAAUAAAUAAAUAAAUAAGGGCUUCAAAGAUGUGGAAAGAGCUGCAGACUGAGGUGGAUCAAUUACCUCAGACCUGAUCUCAAGAGGGGAAAGUUCAGUUUACAAGAAGAACAAACCAUCAUCCAACUCCAUGCUUUUCUUGGAAACAGGUCUUAAGAUGCCACUUCUCCACUUCUCUCCCUAAACCAUCAAAUCUUGUAAAUACCCUUUAAUUAAAACAAAUUCAACAGUAUGGUGGAAUCAAUCAAAUCUGGGUUUUAAGGAUUUCAAAGAAUAACAAUGGAGUGAAACAAGAUAGACCCACAGUUGUUAUAUUCUAUUCCACUCUACUAUGAAGGUGUAAUUUUGAAAACUCUUAUAUAUUUCCAUGGAUGUUGGAACAUCUAUCUUUAUUGUUCAAAAAGAAAUAUAUCCUUGAGACUUGCCCAAUCAUUUUAAAUUUUUUGAACUAAUUUUUUAUUAGUUUCAAUUAUUAUUAAAUCGAGUUAAGUUCAAAUUUAUGUGCAUGUCUAAAUCAAGUACAUUAUAGUUUAUAUUAUAUUUGGGUAUUUCAGCUUCAAGCCAUUCGUGUAUAGUUUACACUAUUUACUACUGGUACUGGACUGUAAAUUUAAGCAUAGGGAAAUUUGCUGUUGCAUGCAUGCAAUUAUUUCCAAUUUCAGAUUAUUUACAAAAUUCUACGUACCUUUCCUGUGAAGGUGGUCAACCAUUGCAGCUCACUUACCGAAUCGAACCGACAACGAGAUUAAAAACUACUGGAACACACAUAUUAAGAAACGGUUUACCAAGAUGGGGAUCGAUCCCACC